This 417-nucleotide ribosomal RNA is filed under the name uncultured bacterium. Its description in RNAcentral is "partial 16S ribosomal RNA". It matches the Rfam family "Bacterial small subunit ribosomal RNA", at positions 355 to 762 of the family's 1533-position model. The record is from RNAcentral.
UGGGGAAUUUUGGACGAAUUGGGGGCAACCGUGAUCCAGCAAUGCCGCGUGUGUGAAGAAGGCCUUCGGGUUGUAAAGCACUUUUGUCCGGAAAGAAAACGCCGUGGUUAAUACCCGUGGCGGAUGACGGUACCGGAAGAAUAAGCACCGGCUAACUACGUGCCAGCAGCCGCGGUAAUACGUAGGGUGCAAGCGUUAAUCGGAAUUACUGGGCGUAAAGCGUGCGCAGGCGGUCCGCUAAGACAGAUGUGAAAUCCCCGGGCUUAACCUGGGAACUGCAUUUGUGACUGGCGGGCUAGAGUAUGGCAGAGGGGGGUAGAAUUCCACGUGUAGCAGUGAAAUGCGUAGAGAUGUGGAGGAAUACCGAUGGCGAAGGCAGCCCCCUGGGCCAAUACUGACGCUCAUGCACGAAAGCGU